Molecule: non-coding RNA, 259 nt
Filed under: Clostridiales bacterium
Lineage: Bacteria; Bacillati; Bacillota; Clostridia; Eubacteriales
Description: T-box sequence
Rfam family: T-box leader
About the family: Uncharged tRNA acts as the effector for transcription antitermination of genes in the T-box leader family.
Source: RNAcentral
AAAAAAGCAUUGAUUGGAAAAAGUAACAAUCAGGAAAUCCAACAGAAAGUUGCCGGUUGAUGAGAGGCAUAGGAAGAACUUUUUGCGAAUACGUCCAGGAGCUUCACACCGAACAGAGGAAAUGAUUUUACUAAGUAGGCUGUGACGGAAUUGCAACCGUUAUGAUGCAAAAGUGCUGAUUGGCACUUAAUGAGACAGAUUAUGUGAGUAAUCUGUAAACAAAGGUGGUACCACGUAAGUUUUAGCUUUCGUCCUUUUU